CAGUCGCCGCGGUAAUACGAAGGGUGCAAGCGUUAACCGGAAUUACUGGGCGUAAAGCGUGCGUAGGCGGUGAGUUAAGUCUGCUGUGAAAUCCCCGGGCUCAACCUGGGAAUGGCAGUGGAUACUGGCUCGCUAGAGUGUGUCAGAGGAUGGUGGAAUUCCCGGUGUAGCGGUGAAAUGCGUAGAGAUCGGGAGGAACAUCAGUGGCGAAGGCGGCCAUCUGGGACAACACUGACGCUGAGGCACGAAAGCGUGGGGAGCAAACAGGAUUAGAUACCCCCGUAGUCCCUGUCUCUUAUAC
RNAcentral lists this ribosomal RNA (301 nucleotides) under uncultured bacterium. RNAcentral describes it as "partial 16S ribosomal RNA". It matches the Rfam family "Bacterial small subunit ribosomal RNA", at positions 509 to 807 of the family's 1533-position model. The record is from RNAcentral.